This 71-nucleotide transfer RNA is filed under the name Holothuria pervicax. Its description in RNAcentral is "tRNA-Leu". It matches the Rfam family "tRNA". From Rfam's summary of the family: Transfer RNA (tRNA) molecules are approximately 80 nucleotides in length. Lineage: Eukaryota; Metazoa; Echinodermata; Holothuroidea; Aspidochirotida; Holothuriidae. The record is from RNAcentral.
ACCUCUGUAGCAAAAUGGUAAUGCCGGGGACCUAAGCUCCCCUACAAGGAGUUCGAUUCUUCUCCGAGGUU